AGAGUUUGAUCAUGGCUCAGAAUGAACGCUGGCGGCGUGCCUAACACAUGCAAGUCGGACGCGAACGGGGCUUCGGCCCUCAGUAGAGUGGCGCACGGGUGAGUAACGCGUAGGUGAUCUACCUCUGGAUUGGGGAUAACUCUGCGAAAGCGGAGCUAAUACCGAAUGGUCUGGCUUUAUUUUUAUGAAGUCGGUAAAGGAUGCCUCUGCAUAUGCAUCUGUCCGGAGAUGAGCCUGCGUCCCAUUAGCUAGUUGGUAGGGUAAAGGCCUACCAAGGCGACGAUG
Molecule: ribosomal RNA, 285 nt
Filed under: uncultured bacterium
Lineage: Bacteria
Description: partial 16S ribosomal RNA
Rfam family: Bacterial small subunit ribosomal RNA
Source: RNAcentral